UCCNGUGUCCUGCUGUGACGGAGUAGC
RNAcentral lists this non-coding RNA (27 nucleotides) under Mus musculus (house mouse). Lineage: Eukaryota; Metazoa; Chordata; Mammalia; Rodentia; Muridae. The record is from RNAcentral.